CGGAACCGCAAAGUAACGAUCUGGUUGGCAGUGUUAGCACAGUCCAUUCACCUUAUAAGUUUAUAACUAAAAUUCGUCUAGACCAUUUGUGUCGGAAUAUAACCAUAGGACAUAGAGGUUAGAGGACAACUAUUUUAUGGUGCAUCGAAUUAUUAUUAUCUAGCACAUUGCGAAAGGAUAAUCGAAAUAUCCAAGAGGAGGUCGGCUGGGUUUGGCUGCGGCGACUACGGCGAGGCGGCGGUACCAGGAAUCGCGGCUGCGGUUCGCACAGCGCAAUUGUAUUUUAAACACGGUCGUUGUCCGACGGCGGCGUCAGUGGCAGCAGCAGGAGCUGUACUAUAACUAAGUUAAAGAAUAAUUCCGAGAACAUCUAUUUUAAUUGAAUAAUUGAAUAGUUCCAUCUACCUCCCAACUACCUACGACAAAAAAAAUCGAAAUGAGAGUCGCAGAGCUUAAUAUUAUAUAGUCAAAAGAAUAACCGCUAUAUAAGAAAAUAAUAUUAAACACAUUAUAUUAUACUCUAAAGUCAGUAUAGUCUAUAUAGUAUACAGACUACGGACAAAAUCCAAUAAACUCACUGAUACCACCCUUGCGCGAGUAACUGUUCUUUUAUUGUCGGUCUCGUAUCGAAAAGUUUGAGGUUUUGCACCCACAAAUUAUUACGUUUUUGGAAUAAAUCUAGUUUAGGACCCCAUCAAAUGUUUUUUUCCUGAAGUCUGAACCUUUUCUGUGUCUAUGUAUACGAUAGAACUAAUUAAAAUGUGACUUGGAAAUCAUUAGAUUUUAAGUCAAGCGUGGAAAUGUACUUUUGUAUCUAUCUAAGUGCCUUAUUUUCAGUGUUUUUUUGUACCAUGUGGCCAAUUCACAGAGGGCGUAAAAACUAUAUUUAAUUUGUAACUAAACAAACCAGACAACGUCGCUUGCUCGGACAGUUUAAAAUUUAAAUAACAAACGUCCACCGAGUUGUUAAGCAAAACCAACUACGGUACUUAACAGGGUAAAAACAAAUGUCUUUUGAUUUUAAUUAAUCAAUUGUAAGUGUUGUAGAGAAGUUAAUACAAAAAAAACUGUUUUUUUCAUGAUUUUUGCACAAUAUAAUUAAAAACUAAUACAUAGUUUCUGCAAAACUGUGGUUAGUUCCAGUAAACUUUGAGAGGUCCUACACUAGAUGUAUUGUGUAUGCUUACAGUAAACCAGGUUUUGCAAUGUAAUUUUUAUAUAUUUAUUUAUUGUAAUAAACGGAUACGACUCUUUGGUUUUGGUACAUGCAUAUAAUAUAAUUAAUGUACUCGCCUACUUCUAUUUACCUAUUGACUGUUUUUUUUUUUUAAUUAAAUGAAUAUAGAAUAUAAUACAGUGGUCGCCGCUUAUUGGACUCACGGUUAAUUGACUCAUUCGCAUAUUAGACUCAAAACGGUUGGUCCCGAUUCGCACGGUUAGGUUAGGUUAGGUUUUUGAGUCAUUCGCCUUAUUGACUCAUUCGGUUAAUUGACUCAAAUUGUAGGGUCCCAAAGUGAGUCCAAUAAGCGGCGACUACUGUAUAUUAUCCACCUAUCCAAUAGGACAAUAGGUGACCUAUAUAAUAUGUAAGCCCAGAAAUUACAACGCCAUAGUGUGAAAUAUGCGUGUCAAUAAUAUUGUACCGAUGACGUUGUAAAUGGCGACAUGUAAUUGGAAAUGGUCGAAUGUAUAAACCAUAAAUUGCAGGUACAUUGGUCGUCAGUCGUCACGCAAUUGAUUCGUGUUAGUAAAUUAUAAUGAACUGACCUCAAGAAUAACGCGUUGUACUGCCGUGUACGUCACAAUUUUCGUUUACGUUGUCCAGGUUGACAAAUUAAAUUACUUGAGCAUUAUAUGAACUGCAUAGAAUCAAUUUGAAUUAGGCAUUAGAAGAGUAUGAAUUAGAGGCUUAGUUAGUCCUCAUCCCUUUGGAAGUGUUACAUGUGUUUCGUAUAUAAUAUAUGUAAUGUAUGUUAAUAUUUAAUCAAUGCUAGUACGUCUUAAUUAUAUUCUUA
Long non-coding RNA from Myzus persicae (green peach aphid), 2015 nucleotides. RefSeq lists it as uncharacterized. The transcript has 3 exons. The record is from RefSeq and is a predicted model, not a curated record. Lineage: Eukaryota; Metazoa; Arthropoda; Insecta; Hemiptera; Aphididae.